RNAcentral lists this transfer RNA (65 nucleotides) under Rhabdoblatta orlovi. RNAcentral's name for it is "tRNA-Cys". The record is from RNAcentral. Lineage: Eukaryota; Metazoa; Arthropoda; Insecta; Blattodea; Blaberidae.
AGUCUUAUAUUCAUGGAAUGAUUAUAGAAUGCAAUUCUAUAGGAGUAGAUAAACUACUAAGACUU